UCAAUCCACAUUUAAAGGGCGAGGUUGCCCCUGUCUCUUUAAAUAAGUUUGCAGAGAUUGCUAACAGUUGCUUACAUGGCCAAGGAAUUGUACGCCC
This is a long non-coding RNA of Populus euphratica (Euphrates poplar), 97 nucleotides long. RefSeq lists it as uncharacterized. The record is from RefSeq and is a predicted model, not a curated record. Lineage: Eukaryota; Viridiplantae; Streptophyta; Magnoliopsida; Malpighiales; Salicaceae. The transcript is spliced from 3 exons.